UAAGGAAUAUUGGUCAAUGGGCGGAAGCCUGAACCAGCCAUGCCGCGUGCAGGAAGACGGCCCUACGGGUUGUAAACUGCUUUUGCAGGGGAAUAAACCCCCGUAUGAAUACGGGGUUGAAUGUACUCUGAGAAUAAGGAUCGGCUAACUCCGUGCCAGCAGCCGCGGUAAUACGGAGGAUCCGAGCGUUAUCCGGAUUUAUUGGGUUUAAAGGGUGCGUAGGCGGCUUUUUAAGUCAGGGGUGAAAGACGGUAGCUCAACUAUCGCAGUGCCUUUGAUACUGAAGAGCUUGAAUGUACUUGAGGUAGGCGGAAUGUGACAAGUAGCGGUGAAAUGCAUAGAUAUGUCACAGAACACCAAUUGCGAAGGCAGCUUACUAAAGUAUGAUUGACGCUGAGGCACGAAAGCGUGGGGAUCAAACAGGAUUAGAUACCCCUGUAGUCC
This 444-nucleotide ribosomal RNA is filed under the name uncultured bacterium. RNAcentral describes it as "bacterial SSU rRNA". It matches the Rfam family "Bacterial small subunit ribosomal RNA", at positions 355 to 796 of the family's 1533-position model. The record is from RNAcentral.